UUACCUUAAAUUUGUAUGGAGUUGGAACGCUUGCCUACGUUUGUCGCUAGGGGCGCUGUUCCAACUGCAUACAAAUUUGAGUUA
Bombyx mori (domestic silkworm) is the source of this 84-nucleotide non-coding RNA. Lineage: Eukaryota; Metazoa; Arthropoda; Insecta; Lepidoptera; Bombycidae. The record is from Rfam.